This 800-nucleotide long non-coding RNA is filed under the name Sus scrofa (pig). Its description in RNAcentral is "lncRNA (ENSSSCG00035034429.1)". The record is from RNAcentral. Lineage: Eukaryota; Metazoa; Chordata; Mammalia; Artiodactyla; Suidae.
AGAGACCCAGAUCAGACUUCUUCCAUGGCUGCGCUUGCUGGUCUCCACACAAUGAGAAAUAGAUACUUAAGGUUGCUGCCAUACAUCAAUGAGUGUGAACCCCCCUCCACAGUGUCUUGUGGAAAAUUUGCACAGUGCUGGAACACAGAUGGGAGCUACUACUGCACAUGCAGCCCAGGAUACCAACUUGUUUCUGGGGCAACGAUGUUCAGGAAAGAAAGUGAGAACACAUGUCAAGUUGUCAAGCCUGAGAAUACCACAAAGGACCAGGACUCAGAAAAAUGUUGUGUCAGACCUGAGCAGGAUGACAAGAACACCCCAACAUACACACUUGGAGAUCUGGAUAAACAGAAGAGGCUCCCAUCUGGACCAGACAGCAACAGAGAUCAUCAUAAGGAACCAUUGCCACAGGGCCAAACCUCUCCCAAGGAGGUCAAACCAGGCUCCAUGGGGGGCCAGACUGAUGGGGGACAGAAGAAGGCUAAGCCCCACUGGCAAGAAGCCAAAGGGAUCAUCUUCCCCACCUGGGCUGCACCCUCAAGAGUCAAGAGCAAGAGGCUCUCCCGCUUCUUUGACAGGGUCCACUAUCUGAGUAGAAACUUCAAUUCAGCCUCUGUCCAGAGCACUGUCCAGGAAGUCAUACAGGAAGUGGAUGAAAUGCUGGAGAGCCCCGGGGACCUGGGAAACCUGGCCCCCACAGAGCAGCACUCUGUGGCCACUAACCUGCUCUUUGGCCUGGAGAAUGUCCUAAGAGGGCUGAGCAAGGCCCUGCACAAUGGGUCUGCGACAUUCACUUCAUC